UUGGGUUCACUUUUAGAUCUGAAAAUGGUGCUUCUUUUUGAUUGAGCAUUGUUUAUAAGUUGAAUCCUAAAGUAAAUGUUCCCCUCGCUAUCCGGUGUAUGUUUUAAUACUGCAUUUGGACGUUGGGAAACUACAUUU
Amaranthus tricolor (Joseph's coat) is the source of this 138-nucleotide small nucleolar RNA. RefSeq annotates it as small nucleolar RNA snoR136. Lineage: Eukaryota; Viridiplantae; Streptophyta; Magnoliopsida; Caryophyllales; Amaranthaceae. The record is from RefSeq and is a predicted model, not a curated record. The transcript has a single exon.